CGUGAACUGACCAGUAAGGACAGGCAGUCGUUGCUUUGACUGUCGUUAAAUUAACCACAAUUACCAGCGAGGCCUACACGCACGCGCCUUCCUCUCUGUACGCCUACUGUGUAUAUUACCGACGUUUAUAUGUUCAUAUUAGAAGUUCCGACAGACAAGGAAGCCAUAUGGAACCCCUUUGAUUUUCUCUGGCGCAUGGCAUGGGGAACCUUCAUAACCAUCUCGACCGGAAGCUAGCUGCUAGAGUUCGUACGCCAUAUGAUCUAUCGUGGAAAACUCCAAAAAAGAAAAGGCUGGCCUUCGAUGCAAAUCGUGCAUCUACUCCACAUGUAGCAUGUACAUACUCAACAAUAUCACGACUCCCUUCACAUUGUUAGAACAGCAAAUCUCCACAGGCAUUUUCCAAUUAACAUGUGAAAGAAACCUCGUUCAAUAUGAGAAUCCAAUCGAGGCAAAAACGUACACCGGUACACGGAAUCGAGAAUGCCAUUUGCGGUGCAUUCAACUCUAGAAAAGAGGCAGACAUAAAUGAAAGAAAGAAAUAGGUGCCGCGCUUGAGGAUCAUGAGAAAAAACGACUGCUCUCGAUAUUCCUUCUAAUCACUUUCAAAGAGACAAAGCUCGAAAUGAAAGACGUUACGUAAUUACCCUUUGCAAAUGUGAUUACCACCAUCGAGCGACUUUUCUGAGCGUCUACAAUUUAAUUAUGCUGGAAAGACUUCGGUUAAUUUUCGUAAUUAAUCCGAAUGCCAAUCUCCACUGUUACGGAGAAUCGGCAUUUUAGUUGGAAGGUUAAAUGACAUCAUAUUUAAUAAUUUCAUUUUAUACUAUUAAAUAUAGGAAAGAAUUCUAUUUUUUUUAAUGAUAAGCGUACAGGUAGGGAAAUUCUUAUCUGUAGUUUUAUUAUGAUACGUUUUAUUUCUUUCUAUAAUGUACUGAUGAUUUUCAAACUUUUGAUUUUUAAUAGUAAUUGCAAACUAACUGAAGUUGGAUUUUUGAUAUAAGAAUUCUCCCUAUUUAUGUAUGAACUGUGUAGGCAAAAUGUAUUUUGAUUUACAAAAAGUUGUAAUACUUUUAAUUAUUUUCUUAAAUAUUAUGUAUUGAUUUCAAUAACUUUUCUCCAUUUCUUGAACAUAAUGAUUCAAUACUAUCAUCACUAUAUCGUUACUAAUAAGUGGUUAAUUUUUGAAAUCAAAAUAUCCUCUGCAAUAUUUCUGAUAUUAUAUCUUAAAUUUAAUCUACUACAAUAUAGAUACCAAGAGUAGAAAAAAAAUCUUAGAUUCAUUGUAAAUAGUUCUGAUUAAGCUAAAACGCGAUGAGAAUGCAGUAUUGGCGGUAUACUUUAUCAAUCGCUAUUAUGUUGAUCAUUAUUUACUGCAUACCUCAAAACAAGGUGAUAAAUGAUAAUACUUAAAAAAUUAGAUGUCAGUAGUAAAAAACGCUAAGAUAUCUUAAACUAAAGUAUUUACUGCUGUAAAUUGUAGACCGUAAUAUAGACAAUAGAAACACAGAACCUUUUUCUACAUCUGAUAUUUUGUUCAGUUUGUGUAAUUGGAUACUUGGAAUUUGUAAUUCUCACGAACGCAAUAAAAUGCGUCGCCCGUUGUUCAUUUAAAGAUAACAUGCUUAUUUAGUAAAUAUGUAUGUAUUUAGUGAAAUAAUUGAAGUCAUCUUUAUCAAUCGUUAGAUUAAAUAAUAUAUAUCGUCUUGGCAAGUGUUAUUUAUGCGAUUAAGUGUUUAAUAUUUAUAUCGUAAUUCUUUUCUGAGUCAAAUACAAAAUUUCAUUGCGAACUAGAAAAUUUCUAUUACAUUUAAAAAUAUAGAUUUUAUAAACUUACAAUUAAUGCAAAUUACACAUUUAUGUUCUAAUCUGUGAAUUUAUAAUAUAAUUUCUUUUGAUAAUAUUUUGUUUGGUAAUGCUGAUACAGCGACCUCCAAGACCAUUUUUUCGAGCUCGACAUUGCACCGCACCGCUUUUCUCGCGUUCCAAGUAACGCGACGAGAGAAAUUCUAUACAUUUAAACGAGUAUUCGCACUACUCUACACCAGCGGCAUUAGAUGUCCUCGUCUAUCUAGAAUUUCCAAUAUUGUAUAACGCACACAUUGUGCGAAUGUAUCACGGUAAAACUGUGGACGAAUGAAAGAGACUUAUGGUAUAAAUGCACGCGAAAAUGUCGAAACCAAAAUGUACGAUGCUUAUAAACUAAAAUUCAAUGAAAUCGAUAUGUAGACAAAUAAUGUAUAGAGCUUAUGCGAAUUAUAAUACAAUGAGUAGGGGUCGUAGAAUGAUUACUAAUGUUUUACGUAAUGAUUACUCAACGUAGACAACUCAAAGAAAUAAAAAAGAGCUACGAAUAACUACUUACGGGUUUUAGGUUAGGUUAAGUAUCUACUGAUUUGGUGUAUCGAACUAUCACCGAGGGGAAAGAUCUAGGAACUUUACUGUU
Molecule: long non-coding RNA, 2446 nt
Organism: Bombus pyrosoma
Lineage: Eukaryota; Metazoa; Arthropoda; Insecta; Hymenoptera; Apidae
Exons: 3
Source: RefSeq, a predicted model, not a curated record